RNAcentral lists this transfer RNA (70 nucleotides) under Succinea putris (European ambersnail). Its description in RNAcentral is "tRNA-Gly". Lineage: Eukaryota; Metazoa; Mollusca; Gastropoda; Stylommatophora; Succineidae. The record is from RNAcentral.
UUUUUUAUAGUAUAAGUAUUAGUACAAUUACCUUCCAAGUAAAAGGUCUAUAAAUGUUUUAUUAUAGGAU